GAGUAAAGCAGGUUAUGCAAGCUUGUUUGAAUAUAGGGGAACCAUCCUCUAAGCCUAAAAUAUCUUAGUAAUCGAUAGUGGACAAGUACUGUGAAGGAAAGGUGAAAGUAGAAUCUUUUUUGGUUUGAAAUAGAACUUGAAAUUUAACACUGAUGAACUAUUGGAGUUGCAAUAAGUAAUGACAAUGUACCUUUUGCAUAAUGGACCAACGAGUUUAUUUAAAUAGCAAGCUUAAAUUGUUAAAAUAAGGCGUAAUUAA
RNAcentral lists this ribosomal RNA (259 nucleotides) under Stephanopyxis turris. Its description in RNAcentral is "partial Bacterial large subunit ribosomal RNA". It matches the Rfam family "Bacterial large subunit ribosomal RNA", at positions 410 to 675 of the family's 2925-position model. Lineage: Eukaryota; Bacillariophyta; Melosirophyceae; Stephanopyxales; Stephanopyxidaceae. The record is from RNAcentral.